AUUAAACGCUGGCGGCAUGCCUUACACAUGCAAGUCGAACGGCAGCACGGGGGCAACCCUGGUGGCGAGUGGCGGACGGGUGAGUAAAGCAUCGGAACGUAUCCUGGAGUGGGGGAUAACGUAGCGAAAGUUACGCUAAUACCGCAUAUUCUGUGAGCAGGAAAGCAGGGGAUCGCAAGACCUUGCGCUCUGGGAGCGGCCGAUGUCGGAUUAGCUAGUUGGUGGGGUAAAGGCCUACCAAGGCGACGAUCCGUAGCGGGUCUGAGAGGAUGAUCCGCCACACUGGGACUGAGACACGGCCCAGACUCCUACGGGAGGCAGCAGUGGGGAAUUUUGGACAAUGGGCGGAAGCCUGAUCCAGCCAUGCCGCGUGAGUGAAGAAGGCCUU
RNAcentral lists this ribosomal RNA (388 nucleotides) under uncultured bacterium. RNAcentral describes it as "bacterial SSU rRNA". It matches the Rfam family "Bacterial small subunit ribosomal RNA", at positions 29 to 418 of the family's 1533-position model. The record is from RNAcentral.